GCUGGCGGAAUGCUUUACACAUGCAAGUCGAACGGCAGCACGGGGGCAACCCUGGUGGCGAGUGGCGAACGGGUGAGUAAUACAUCGGAACGUGCCCAGUCGUGGGGGAUAACUACGCGAAAGCGUAGCUAAUACCGCAUACGAUCUACGGAUGAAAGCGGGGGACCGUAAGGCCUCGCGCGAUUGGAGCGGCCGAUGGCAGAUUAUGUAGUUGGUGGGGUAAAGGCCUACCAAGCCGACGAUCUGUAGCUGGUCUGAGAGGACGACCAGCCACACUGGGACUGAGACACGGCCCAGACUCCUACGGGAGGCAGCAGUGGGGAAUUUUGGACAAUGGGCGCAAGCCUGAUCCAGCCAUUCCGCGUGCAGGAUGAAGGCCCUCGGGUUGUAAACUGCUUUUGUACGGAACGAAACGGCGCUUUCUAAUACAAGGCGCUAAUGACGGUACCGUAAGAAUAAGCACCGGCUAACUACGUGCCAGCAGCCGCGGUAAUACGUAGGGUGCGAGCGUUAAUCG
Molecule: ribosomal RNA, 517 nt
Filed under: uncultured soil bacterium
Lineage: Bacteria
Description: bacterial SSU rRNA
Rfam family: Bacterial small subunit ribosomal RNA
Source: RNAcentral